UAUCAUAGUAGAAAUAGGAGAAAAGCAGAGUCCUUUCGUUUGGUGAGGUUUGUUUCCCUCUUGAGUGUGAGUGAGUUUGUGUAGUGGCCAACCCCAUAGCGCUCUAUGCAGGGAUCUGCUGCAGAGGUGUGCUCAGUCUGCUCAGUCUCCAAGCGCUCUGUGCAGGGAUCUGCUGCAGAGGUGUGCUCAGUCUGCUCAGUCUCCAAGCGCUCUGUGCAGGGAUCUGCUGCAGAGGUGUGCUCAGUCUGCUCAGUCUCCAAGCGCUCUGUGCAGGGAUCUGCUGCAGAGGUGUGCUCAGUCUGCUCAGUCUCCAAGCGCUCUGUGCAGGGAUCUGCUGCAGAGGUGUGCUCAGUCUGCUCAGUCUCCAAGCGCUCUAUGCAGGGAUCUGCUGCAGAGGUGUGCUCAGUCUGCUCAGUCUCCAAGCGCUCUGUGCAGGGAUCUGCUGCAGAGGUGUGCUCAGUCUGCUCAGUCUCCAAGCGCUCUGUGCAGGGAUCUGCUGCAGAGGUGUGCUCAGUCUGCUCAGUCUCCAAGCGCUCUGUGCAGGGAUCUGCUGCAGAGGUGUGCUCAGUCUGCUCAGUCUCCAAGCGCUCUGUGCAGGGAUCUGCUGCAGAGGUGUGCUCAGUCUGCUCAGUCUCCAAGCGCUCUGUGCAGGGAUCUGCUGCAGAGGUGUGCUCAGUCUGCUCAGUCUCCAAGCGCUCUAUGCAGGGAUCUGCUGCAGAGGUGUGCUCAGUCUGCUCAGUCUCCAAGCGCUCUAUGCAGGGAUCUGCUGCAGAGGUGUGCUCAGUCUGCUCAGUCUCCAAGCGCUCUGUGCAGGGAUCUGCUGCAGAGGUGUGCUCAGUCUGCUCAGUCUCCAAGCGCUCUGUGCAGGGAUCUGCUGCAGAGGUGUGCUCAGUCUGCUCAGUCUCCAAGCGCUCUGUGCAGGGAUCUGCUGCAGAGGUGUGCUCAGUCUGCUCAGUCUCCAAGCGCUCUGUGCAGGGAUCUGCUGCAGAGGUGUGCUCAGUCUGCUCAGUCUCCAAGCGCUCUGUGCAGGGAUCUGCUGCAGAGGUGUGCUCAGUCUGCUCAGUCUCCAAGCGCUCUGUGCAGGGAUCUGCUGCAGAGGUGUGCUCAGUCUGCUCAGUCUCCAAGCGCUCUGUGCAGGGAUCUGCUGCAGAGGUGUGCUCAGUCUGCUCAGUCUCCAAGCGCUCUGUGCAGGGAUCUGCUGCAGAGGUGUGCUCAGUCUGCUCAGUCUCCAAGCGCUCUGUGCAGGGAUCUGCUGCAGAGGUGUGCUCAGUCUGCUCAGUCUCCAAGCGCUCUGUGCAGGGAUCUGCUGCAGAGGUGUGCUCAGUCUGCUCAGUCUCCAAGCGCUCUGUGCAGGGAUCUGCUGCAGAGGUGUGCUCAGUCUGCUCAGUCUCCAAGCGCUCUGUGCAGGGAUCUGCUGCAGAGGUGUGCUCAGUCUGCUCAGUCUCCAAGCGCUCUGUGCAGGGAUCUGCUGCAGAGGUGUGCUCAGUCUGCUCAGUCUCCAAGCGCUCUGUGCAGGGAUCUGCUGCAGAGGUGUGCUCAGUCUGCUCAGUCUCCAAGCGCUCUGUGCAGGGAUCUGCUGCAGAGGUGUGCUCAGUCUGCUCAGUCUCCAAGCGCUCUGUGCAGGGAUCUGCUGCAGAGGUGUGCUCAGUCUGCUCAGUCUCCAAGCGCUCUGUGCAGGGAUCUGCUGCAGAGGUGUGCUCAGUCUGCUCAGUCUCCAAGCGCUCUGUGCAGGGAUCUGCUGCAGAGGUGUGCUCAGUCUGCUCAGUCUCCAAGCGCUCUGUGCAGGGAUCUGCUGCAGAGGUGUGCUCAGUCUGCUCAGUCUCCAAGCGCUCUGUGCAGGGAUCUGCUGCAGAGGUGUGCUCAGUCUGCUCAGUCUCCAAGCGCUCUGUGCAGGGAUCUGCUGCAGAGGUGUGCUCAGUCUGCUCAGUCUCCAAGCGCUCUGUGCAGGGAUCUGCUGCAGAGGUGUGCUCAGUCUGCUCAGUCUCCAAGCGCUCUGUGCAGGGAUCUGCUGCAGAGGUGUGCUCAGUCUGCUCAGUCUCCAAGCGCUCUGUGCAGGGAUCUGCUGCAGAGGUGUGCUCAGUCUGCUCAGUCUCCAAACGCUCUGUGCAGGGAUCUGCUGCAGAGGUGUGCUCAGUCUGCUCAGUCUCCAAGCGCUCUGUGCAGGGAUCUGCUGCAGAGGUGUGCUCAGUCUGCUCAGUCUCCAAGCGCUCUGUGCAGGGAUCUGCUGCAGAGGUGUGCUCAGUCUGCUCAGUCUCCAAGCGCUCUGUGCAGGGAUCUGCUGCAGAGGUGUGCUCAGUCUGCUCAGUCUCCAAGCGCUCUGUGCAGGGAUCUGCUGCAGAGGUGUGCUCAGUCUGCUCAGUCUCCAAGCGCUCUGUGCAGGGAUCUGCUGCAGAGGUGUGCUCAGUCUGCUCAGUCUCCAAACGCUCUGUGCAGGGAUCUGCUGCAGAGGUGUGCUCAGUCUGCUCAGUCUCCAAGCGCUCUGUGCAGGGAUCUGCUGCAGAGGUGUGCUCAGUCUGCUCAGUCUCCAAGCGCUCUGUGCAGGGAUCUGCUGCAGAGGUGUGCUCAGUCUGCUCAGUCUCCAAGCGCUCUAUAGGGAUCUGCUGCAGAGGUGUGCUCAGUCUGCUCAGUCUCCAAGCGCUCUGUGCAGCUCUGAUACAGACCGCACUGUUCUGAAUUUGAAAGUGCUAAGCUCUUGUCAGGGAAGCUUGGGGCUGUGGCGGUAUGGGGUGCCUCUUGAGCAGGGCCGCCCUGCCUUCUUGGUAGCUGGCCUCAGGAGUCACAGGCAAGUGCCCUUCGCACCCUCAGUCCCUUCAGUGCUUUGAGAGCGCAGGUUAAAUAAGCCUUCUAAUCUUAUGUGCUAUUGCUUUGUGAACCUUGCUUAUUAUUGAAAGUCUAUUAUAAUAGACUGCAAGAUAUAAGAGACUACAAGAUAGCAUCUCAUUGUAACUACUGCAUGGAACCUCAAGAUUUAAGUAAAAAAUGUAAAAUCCUAAUACUUUGAAUGAAGAGGCACGCAUAUCCUUGUGAGUACAAAGCCUGUCUGGUCUACAUAGUACUGUAAAGUGAGACCCUGCCCUUAAAGAUGGAUGGAUGGAUGGAUCGAUCAAUUGAUCCAUCUGUGCUCACCAUCAUCUCAAGUAGAAGAAACAGCUUGCUUUUUGCCAAUUUCUUACUCACUUAUAGCUAGGCUUUUCUCUGUUGUUAGCUCUUUGAGCUCCCUCACUGCUUGUGUGGAAGCCUCACUGUCCUCAGCCGUCUCCGCACUUGUCUCAGGUGCUUCUUUAGCCAUUUUUGUGACCGAAACUUGUGCCUGCCACUGCUUGCUCCCUCUCCUUCCUUUUGUCUUUAAUUUUGAGUGCUGUAGAGGAAUAUUUCUGUGGGUACCUUUACCUUGCUAGUUUGUUGCCCACAUGGGCAUUUGUAGCAGCCAGAGGUCAGGAUGUCUUCUUCAGUCUCAGUCUGUACUGUGUGUACCUGGUCCCUUCUAGGCCAAAAUAGGAUAUGAGAUUCCCUGGAAAUAGUUAGAGGUGGCUGUGAACUGACAUGUGGGUGCUGGGAAUCAAGCUUGCUCUUCUGGAAGAGCAACCAGUGCUCUUACCUGCUGAGCCAUCACUCCAGCGCCACCCACCUAGUUUUGUCAGCAUAGUCUCUCACUUAUCUGAAACACUGGUCACACUGGUCAGACAGAAAGCCUGCGUCUGUCUCCCUGUCCUGGGGUUAGCCAGAGAUCCAGACUCACUCUUCAUGCUUUCACAGUGAGCGCUGUCCUUACACUCUGGAGUCCAGUCCUGUUCUUCUGUGUAGACAUGAAAAAAAUUAUGCCAGGCAGUGGUGGUAGACGCCUUUAUCUCAAUACUCAGAAGGCAGAGACAGGUGGGUCUGACCCUUCCUGAGUUUAAGGCCAGCCUGGUCUACAGAGUGAGUUCCAAGACAGUUGGGGCUGCACAGAGAAAAAAAAAAAACCUACCAACCAACGUACAAAAAAAAAAGUUACUAGUAUGAUGGAUACAUAAGCUUGAAAAGAAAAUGGAAAAGGCAUGUUUGUCAUGAUGAUCUGUUGCUGCAACUUGAGCGAAAGUAACUGUGAUUUUUCUUUGUGAAACUUUAUUUGCAGCACUGGACAGGACACUGUCUCCAACCCUUCUUACAUGAACCAGAGCUCUCGUCUUCAGGCAGCUGCUGGUACAGCUGCUUACACACAGCCUGUGGGGAUGUCUACAGAUGUGUCUUCUUUCCAGAACACAGCAUCCGGUUUGCCUCAGCUGGCUGGCUUUCCAGUGGCAGUUCCUGCACCUGUCGCUGCACAGCCACAAGCAAGCUACCACCAGCAGCCUCUCCUGUAGAGACGCACCAGGACCUGCUGAACGGCUUUGUGGGUGUGCUGUUUAAUCUAGGGGAUUCUAAUCUGAAAUAUUAAAAGUUUCCCCUCUCAGUCAAAAAGAACCAUGAAUAAAUAAAGCACAAAACCCCACCUUA
RNAcentral lists this long non-coding RNA (4476 nucleotides) under Mus musculus (house mouse). RNAcentral describes it as "predicted gene, 46741 (Gm46741)". The record is from RNAcentral. Lineage: Eukaryota; Metazoa; Chordata; Mammalia; Rodentia; Muridae.